Molecule: transfer RNA, 64 nt
Filed under: Stenacron interpunctatum
Lineage: Eukaryota; Metazoa; Arthropoda; Insecta; Ephemeroptera; Heptageniidae
Description: tRNA-His
Source: RNAcentral
ACCCGGGUAGUUUAAGUAAAAUGUUGAUUUGUGGUGUCAAGGAUAUGGAAUUCCAUCUCGGGUC